GCGCGUCGAUCCCAAAGCGAGGCGGCGCUGGCGUGCUAGGUCUGGGGAUGUGAAGGGAUCGGGAUGUGGAGGGCCGCCGCCGCCGCUCGUCAGUCACCGUUCUACUCCGGACAAGAGUACUUCCCCGUGCUCGCGGGCGAGUGCAAGGAGUUCAUGUUGGCCCUGCCGCUGGACGAGAAGAGGACGCGGUUCCUGGUGUGCGGGUGGCACACCAUGCGGAGGUUGCCGCUGGCGGAGCCGUGGAUGGCGCCGGUGUUGCCGCGCCACACCAGGACGCUGCAGAGGGCGGUGAGGUGCGCGGAGUAGUGCCCGUCGCGGCUGGUCUGGCGGUUCGAGACCCUGCAGGUCUGCCCCUCCCUCGAGAAGUGGAAGUCCAAGCUGCGGGGGCGCGCGAGGCAGCUGAAGCGGUAGCCGCUGGUGGACCGGCAGUAGUGGUGGCUGUCGAAUACCCCUUGUACGGGUGGCGCGUCCAGUUCGCGUAGCGGCUCCUGAACGUUCUGGUCUGCCUCCUCAGCCGCGAGCACUAGAGGCCGUAGUGCCCCUCCUAAUUGUCCCGGCACACCCCUGGGCCGUUGGCCUGGUAGUAGUGCCGACCGCUCCUACGGUGGUAGGCGUAGACCCUGAGACUCUGACCUUUCGACGACUUCCUCAGUCUGUUCCUCCGACCCGUAGUCUUCCGUUAAUCGAGUGAUAGUUUUAGGAAUCUAACCAGAGUAAAGGAGUGUCCAAGGAACCUAUUUAGACGAUUCGAUACCCUACGUUCUUGUGACUGGGACUACUUCUGUAUACAGUGUCUCGCUGGUCAAUUACGACAACUGUACAGAGGAUGAGAACUAUUACACCAAUAACCUCCACCAGUUCUACGUUACUUGCAAUGAUACUGUCUAGCGGCACGGCCAUUUAAACUCCGGUUUAAAAAGGUGUUCUAAAAUGUUCUUCUCUAACCACCACAAUUUCCUGUAAAACCUGGUUAGUUACGUAACCGUAAAUUAGGACUACCUUUCUCGAAAAGCUCACCACCCCUCCUACCUAUGCACUCCGAUGUGGUAAAACUAGGACUCAUAAAGUUGUAGUUCUACAUUCGGACACUUAAAGAGUUCCGGUCCCAUCUUGGUUUGUUCAAAUAUGAUCCGGGACAACUUCGUGGUAAUAAAAAGUCCGUGUCAAGCGGUAAAAGGCUGGAACAAAGUCCGACGUCAACUUUCUGGAGGGAGCAUGAGACCUCACUUGUAUCAAAAUAAAAAAACCGAGUCAAACACGUUGUUGAAAUGAAUCGAC
Molecule: ribosomal RNA, 1278 nt
Filed under: Triticum aestivum (bread wheat)
Lineage: Eukaryota; Viridiplantae; Streptophyta; Magnoliopsida; Poales; Poaceae
Description: partial small subunit ribosomal RNA
Source: RNAcentral